Molecule: ribosomal RNA, 492 nt
Filed under: uncultured bacterium
Lineage: Bacteria
Description: partial 16S ribosomal RNA
Rfam family: Bacterial small subunit ribosomal RNA
Source: RNAcentral
AGUGAACGCUGGCGGUAGGCCUAACACAUGCAAGUCGAACGGCAGCACAGUAAGAGCUUGCUCUUACGGGUGGCGAGUGGCGGACGGGGGAGGAAUACAUCGGAAUCUACUUUUUCGUGGGGGAUAACGUAGGGAAACUUACGCUAAUACCGCAUACGACCUACGGGUGAAAGCAGGGGAUCUUCGGACCUUGCGCGAUUGAAUGAGCCGAUGUCGGAUUAGCUAGUUGGCGGGGUAAAGGCCCACCAAGGCGACGAUCCGUAGCUGGUCUGAGAGGAGGAUCAGCCACACUGGAACUGAGACACGGUCCAGACUCCUACGGGAGGCAGCAGUGGGGAAUAUUGGACAAUGGGCGCAAGUCUGAUCCAGCCAUACCGCGUGGGUGAAGAAGGCCUUCGGGUUGUAAAGCCCUUUUGUUGGGAAAGAAAAGCAGCAGGUUAAUACCCCGCUGUUCUGACGGUACCCAAAGAAUAAGCACCGGCUAACUUCGUG